Molecule: ribosomal RNA, 240 nt
Filed under: Thalassionema nitzschioides
Lineage: Eukaryota; Bacillariophyta; Fragilariophyceae; Thalassionematales; Thalassionemataceae
Description: partial Bacterial large subunit ribosomal RNA
Rfam family: Bacterial large subunit ribosomal RNA
Source: RNAcentral
GUACCGUGAGGGAAAGGUGAAAAGCACCCCGACGAGGGGAGUGAAACAGUACCUGAAACCGAACGCCUACAAUCAGUUGGAGGGCCCUUGAGGCCUGACAGCGUACCUUUUGUAUAAUGGGUCAUCGACUUGGUCUCACGAGCAAGCUUAAGCCGUUAGGUGUAGGCGCAGCGAAAGCGAGUCUGAAUAGGGCGACCGAGUAUGUAGCAUUAGACCCGAAGGCAAGUGAUCUAGAUAUGG